RNAcentral lists this long non-coding RNA (1484 nucleotides) under Gallus gallus (chicken). The record is from RNAcentral. Lineage: Eukaryota; Metazoa; Chordata; Aves; Galliformes; Phasianidae.
GGGACACGCGGAGGUGCCCGUGAGCCUGUUGGCAGUCCUGUAUAGAAGAAGGUGCAUGCUCAGGAGUUGCUAUCUGACUGAGUUGCUGAAGACAGCGAGUCACUGACAGAGGAGUAGGAAUUAUCAAAAGAGAAGUGUCUGCCACCCUGUUUCUUUUGUGCUAACCACCAACAGCUGGAGACCAGGCCAAAGAGAGGCAAGAGAAGCACGUCUCAAGGAAGCAUGUGCUUAAGCACGAAGAUGAACAAAGCUUCCAGGGCUAUUCAAAUCAGCUCUGGCUAUACCAAGUCCAUGCCUAUCCCUUAUACUUUCCAUAUAUUUUAAUAAAUUCAAAGAGAGCUGCUGAGAUUAAAGGGAAGAGCUUUGUGGUGGACAACGCGAAAUGAACAGGCUCUUCCUGCUGUGCAAGGCAGCGACUUGCUGAAGAUGGAGCCUGCACAUCAGAGGAGAGGAUCAUAAGGAUUCUGCCAGGUUUUAAUGCAACAUACCGGCUAUUUUGACUUGGUCGUCUUCUAAUCAAACUGGAGAUGUUUAGCUAGAAACUCCUUUCCCUGUUAUUUCAAACAUAGCCCAAGCACAGCUCCAGUGUCUGCUGAGGAUAGGUUGGGCAUGGAUGGGAGAGAGCUGACCCUACCUCGAUUUGUUGUGUUCCUUCCUUAUCUGCCCAUUCUAAUGGAAGUCUGCCACACAUCAUGGAUGCAAAGUGUGGAGCAUCAGAUGUUCACAGCUUCCCAUUGUGAAGUGAAGGUGUUGGGACCACUUUGUCUUCAGGACUGGACCAACGCUUUAACUACAAGAAAGUGUCAGAUAUGCGGGAUGAUGAUGCAUGGAAAGAAGAAAAACAUUCCUGAGUCAUCCUGUUUCCUGAGCAUAAGGAGGCACAAGAUAACUGCUUCAUAUGAGAUACGAACUGCAUGACCUGCUGAUGGCGAAGUGCUGCUUCCAUGGAAGAUGCAGCUUUAAACAAUAAGAGAAAGCAUCAACCCUCUCCUGCCAUAUUUUGAACUUUGGAGUGUGCACAAGGAUGGAAAAAUACAGAAGGAUGGAAAAACACAAGGAGUGGUGGGACACAACGCAAAGUGAGUCUGAGCUGCCUUUAACUUCAGCCUUUGCACUGUGCCAAUACACCAGGAAGAUGCAGUUUAUUCUACCAGGAAUGCUGAUAUCGCAAACACCUAUUUAAACACAGAAGUGUUGGAGGUUUGAACAUCUUUUAUGAAUACUACACCACUGUUUUAAGAAAAGACAAAUACAAGGUAAGCUUUGAGUUGGCCAUUAGAGAUGUAAUUAAACAAAGAACAUGAGUUGCAGUUACUUCUGCAGCAGCACAUUGCCUGAACCAAUGAACGUUUGUGAUUUUAAAGCAGUGUUAAUCUCAGGCAGUGAGUCCUGAAUAAUGUUUAUUAACUAUAUUUUAAUGACUUGUCGGUUUUCUAAAACAUGCUGAAGUAUUUUAGAAAUCACUUAGUAAAUGUAGUUUUAAU